GCAUGGCUUGCGGCGGCCGCCGACGCUUUCGAGCAGCGUGACGAUGCGGCCGCGCCGCUGUCCGCCGCGGCGGCCGUGCU
RNAcentral lists this transfer RNA (80 nucleotides) under Burkholderia lata. Its description in RNAcentral is "tRNA-Ser". The record is from RNAcentral. Lineage: Bacteria; Pseudomonadati; Pseudomonadota; Betaproteobacteria; Burkholderiales; Burkholderiaceae.